Molecule: ribosomal RNA, 253 nt
Filed under: uncultured bacterium
Lineage: Bacteria
Description: partial 16S ribosomal RNA
Rfam family: Bacterial small subunit ribosomal RNA
Source: RNAcentral
CACGGGGGGAGCAAGCGUUGUUCGGAAUCACUGGGCGUAAAGGGCGUGUAGGCGGUCAAGUAAGUGGAAUGUGAAAUCCCUCGGCUUACCCGAGGACCUGCAUCCCAAACUGCUUGGCUUGAGUACGGGAGGGGAUGAGGGAAUUCCUGGUGUAGCGGUGAAAUGCGUAGAUAUCAGGAGGAACACCGGUGGCGAAGGCGCUCAUCUGGCCCGAUACUGACGCUGAUGCGCGAAAGCGUGGGGAGCGAACAGG